Molecule: non-coding RNA, 585 nt
Filed under: Pongo abelii (Sumatran orangutan)
Lineage: Eukaryota; Metazoa; Chordata; Mammalia; Primates; Hominidae
Source: RNAcentral
GAGGAGGCAGGCAAAAGGAAAAACACAAAUAUCUCCAAGAUGGCACUUACAAAAAACAACAACAAUGAGAAAGUAUAAAUACAAACACACAUCUUGAAGUUUAUGUUCUUACUCAAAUGCAAGCAUCAACAACGGCCUACUGUCAGCAAGUUAAAUGGCUGGGGUUGUGUCAGUCUCCCAUUACAGGAAGUAUCUUCUGGAGAGGGAAAGAAGAAACCAUGUCUAGACAAGGUGCUGGAAAGACCCAGGGAAGACAUAGGUUUAUUCCUUUCUCCACCAUGCCUCACUAUGUGUCACCAAACUUAAUUCAGCAUCAGUGCUCUCAAAUACUCCAACCUACAAUUAGAGAAACCACUGAAUUCAGAUAUCCUCCACCCAAAUGGUAAUGAAGAUUAGAGAAAGUGAUGCCCAUGCAUAGCGGAGAAGUGGAUUGCAGGUAUACCAACGAUCACAGUAAACUAAGAUGUAAAACACCUUAUUCAACAACAAGGAUGCUGACUCAAAAGCAAAAGUUGAAGCACAUUAUGAAUGAAUGUCAAAAGGGAAAAAUCUAAAGCUAACAUAAAAGAGUGUGACUACAUCAAA